This is a long non-coding RNA of Lemur catta (Ring-tailed lemur), 787 nucleotides long. RefSeq lists it as uncharacterized. The record is from RefSeq and is a predicted model, not a curated record. The transcript is spliced from 4 exons. Lineage: Eukaryota; Metazoa; Chordata; Mammalia; Primates; Lemuridae.
UCCGGCUCCUGGUCUUGGGUGUUGGGGGGUCGUGGGCAGCCCCUCCCCCUCUGCUGCGACACAGGGCAUCGCCACUUCCUCUAGGCCCUACUGCCACAUUGCGCCUCCUCUCCCCUCCCUGCCCCCGAUUGCAGGCCACUCUCCCAGAGAGUCCCAAGUCCAGGCUGGAGGAGUGGGCUUGGGAGAGCUGCCCCUCACCAGAGCCACGUGUAGUGCAACUGCAGCAGGUGCCUGGGAAACCUCCACCUUCAGGCUGCUCCCCCAGGGCUCCAAGGCGAGCACCCUCCCACCAAAGAUGAAGUACUUGCAGGGCAACAGACCAGAAAUGACUCCUUGCCCCACCUGUGAGGCAGUUUGAAACAGGUGCAUUUGUUUAACCUUCUCUGCCUGUUCACAGCUGGGUCCCCAGUCCUGAGGGCACAAGUUCCCCAUAAAUGUUGGGACGCUUCCAGGAGGGGGUCCAGGCUGGGGUCCGAGUGAGCAACCCCUGCCCACCAGCUACUGGGGACACCUGGGCACCCCGGAAACGAAGACAUCCUCAAUAUGCCUCAAAUCCACUGGAUGUAUUGUGCCUCAGGGCCUUUGCAUGGGCUGUACUUGCCCUCUGAUGUGCCCUUUCCCCAACCUCUGACCUCAGUUCCUAUUUCCUGGACUCAUCUCCACCAUGGAGCCCUCUUGGAAUCCCUUUCCCCUCACAUCACUGCUGUGGCCCCACAGCCACCAAUGCAGAGCCUGGCACACAGAGGGGGCUCUGAAAACAGUGUCUAGCUGAAUAAACUUUGAUGAA